Xenopus tropicalis (tropical clawed frog) is the source of this 86-nucleotide microRNA precursor. Ensembl annotates it as xtr-mir-223. Its record names the gene xtr-mir-223. Lineage: Eukaryota; Metazoa; Chordata; Amphibia; Anura; Pipidae. The record is from Ensembl.
AGUGUGGCACUGAGUGUAUUUGACAAGCUGAGUCCGACACUCAAUGAGACAGAGUGUCAGUUUGUCAAAUACCCCAAGUGAGGCAC